Molecule: ribosomal RNA, 460 nt
Filed under: uncultured bacterium
Lineage: Bacteria
Description: partial 16S ribosomal RNA
Rfam family: Bacterial small subunit ribosomal RNA
Source: RNAcentral
CCUACGGGAGGCAGCAGUGAGGAAUAUUGGUCAAUGGCCGAGAGUCUGAACCAGCCAAGUCGCGUGAGGGAAGAAUGUCCUAUGGAUUGUAAACCUCUUUUGUCAGGGAGCCAAGUCACCCACGUGUGGGUGUUGGAGAGUACCUGAAGAAAAAGCAUCGGCUAACUCCGUGCCAGCAGCCGCGGUAAUACGGAGGAUCCAAGCGUUAUCCGGAUUUAUUGGGUUUAAAGGGUGCGUAGGCGGAUUGAGAAGUUAGAGGUGAAAUGUCCGAGCUUAACUCGGGAACUGCCGCUAAUACUGUUGAUCUAGAGAGUAGAUGCGGUAGGCGGAAUGUAUGGUGUAGCGGUGAAAUGCUUAGAGAUCAUACAGAACACCGAUUGCGAAGGCAGCUUACCAAUCUAUAUCUGACGUUGAGGCACGAAAGCGUGGGGAGCAAACAGGAUUAGAUACCCCUGUAGUC